GGGUUGUGAGGUUAAGCGACUAAGCGUACACGGUGGAUGCCCUGGCAGUCAGAGGCGAUGAAGGACGUGCUAAUCUGCGAAAAGCGUCGGUAAGGUGAUAUGAACCGUUAUAACCGGCGAUGUCCGAAUGGGGAAACCCAGUGCAAUUCGUUGCACUAUCGUUAACUGAAUACAUAGGUUAACGAGGCGAACCGGGGGAACUGAAACAUCUAAGUACCCCGAGGAAAAGAAAUCAACCGAGAUUCCCCCAGUAGCGGCGAGCGAACGGGGAGCAGCCCAGAGUCUGAAUCAGCUUGUGUGUUAGUGGAACGGUCUGGAAAGUCCGACGGUACAGGGUGAUAGUCCCGUACACCAAAAUGCACAGGUUGUGAACUCGAAGAGUAGGGCGGGACACGUGGUAUCCUGUCUGAAUAUGGGGGGACCAUCCUCCAAGGCUAAAUACUCCUGACUGACCGAUAGUGAACCAGUACCGUGAGGGAAAGGCGAAAAGAACCCCGGCGAGGGGAGUGAAAAAGAACCUGAAACCGUGUACGUACAAGCAGUGGGAGCACCUUCGGGUGUGACUGCGUACCUUUUGUAUAAUGGGUCAGCGACUUAUAUUCUGUAGCAAGGUUAACCGUAUAGGGGAGCCGCAGGGAAACCGAGUCUUAACUGGGCGUUAAGUUGCAGGGUAUAGACCCGAAACCCGGUGAUCUAGCCAUGGGCAGGUUGAAGGUUGGGUAACACUAACUGGAGGACCGAACCGACUAAUGUUGAAAAAUUAGCGGAUGACUUGUGGCUGGGGGUGAAAGGCCAAUCAAACCGGGAGAUAGCUGGUUCUCCCCGAAAGCUAUUUAGGUAGCGCCUCGUGAACUCAUCUUCGGGGGUAGAGCACUGUUUCGGCUAGGGGGUCAUCCCGACUUACCAACCCGAUGCAAACUACGAAUACCGAAGAAUGUUAUCACGGGAGACACACGGCGGGUGCUAACGUCCGUCGUGAAGAGGGAAACAACCCAGACCGCCAGCUAAGGUCCCAAAGUCAUGGUUAAGUGGGAAACGAUGUGGGAAGGCACAGACAGCCAGGAUGUUGGCUUAGAAGCAGCCAUCAUUUAAAGAAAGCGUAAUAGCUCACUGGUCGAGUCGGCCUGCGCGGAAGAUGUAACGGGGCUAAACCAUGCACCGAAGCUGCGGCAGCGACACUAUGUGUUGUUGGGUAGGGGAGCGUUCUGUAAGCCUGCGAAGGUGUGCUGUGAGGCAUGCUGGAGGUAUCAGAAGUGCGAAUGCUGACAUAAGUAACGAUAAAGCGGGUGAAAAGCCCGCUCGCCGGAAGACCAAGGGUUCCUGUCCAACGUUAAUCGGGGCAGGGUGAGUCGACCCCUAAGGCGAGGCCGAAAGGCGUAGUCGAUGGGAAACAGGUUAAUAUUCCUGUACUUGGUGUUACUGCGAAGGGGGGACGGAGAAGGCUAUGUUAGCCGGGCGACGGUUGUCCCGGUUUAAGCAUGUAGGCUGAUUGUCCAGGCAAAUCCGGAUAAUCAAGGCUGAGGUGUGAUGACGAGGCACUACGGUGCUGAAGUAACAAAUGCCCUGCUUCCAGGAAAAGCCUCUAAGCAUCAGGUAACAUCAAAUCGUACCCCAAACCGACACAGGUGGUCAGGUAGAGAAUACCAAGGCGCUUGAGAGAACUCGGGUGAAGGAACUAGGCAAAAUGGUGCCGUAACUUCGGGAGAAGGCACGCUGGUGUGUAGGUGAAGUCCCUGCGGAUGGAGCUGAGACCAGUCGAAGAUACCAGCUGGCUGCAACUGUUUAUUAAAAACACAGCACUGUGCAAACACGAAAGUGGACGUAUACGGUGUGACGCCUGCCCGGUGCCGGAAGGUUAAUUGAUGGGGUUAUCCGUAAGGAGAAGCUCUUGAUCGAAGCCCCGGUAAACGGCGGCCGUAACUAUAACGGUCCUAAGGUAGCGAAAUUCCUUGUCGGGUAAGUUCCGACCUGCACGAAUGGCGUAAUGAUGGCCAGGCUGUCUCCACCCGAGACUCAGUGAAAUUGAACUCGCUGUGAAGAUGCAGUGUACCCGCGGCAAGACGGAAAGACCCCGUGAACCUUUACUAUAGCUUGACACUGAACAUUGAGCCUUGAUGUGUAGGAUAGGUGGGAGGCUUUGAAGCGUGGACGCCAGUCUGCGUGGAGCCAACCUUGAAAUACCACCCUUUAAUGUUUGAUGUUCUAACGUUGGCCCCUGACCGGGGUUGCGGACAGUGUCUGGUGGGUAGUUUGACUGGGGCGGUCUCCUCCCAAAGCGUAACGGAGGAGCACGAAGGUUAGCUAAUCCUGGUCGGACAUCAGGAGGUUAGUGCAAUGGCAUAAGCUAGCUUGACUGCGAGCGUGACGGCGCGAGCAGGUGCGAAAGCAGGUCAUAGUGAUCCGGUGGUUCUGAAUGGAAGGGCCAUCGCUCAACGGAUAAAAGGUACUCCGGGGAUAACAGGCUGAUACCGCCCAAGAGUUCAUAUCGACGGCGGUGUUUGGCACCUCGAUGUCGGCUCAUCACAUCCUGGGGCUGAAGUAGGUCCCAAGGGUAUGGCUGUUCGCCAUUUAAAGUGGUACGCGAGCUGGGUUUAGAACGUCGUGAGACAGUUCGGUCCCUAUCUGCCGUGGGCGCUGGAGAAUUGAGGGGGGCUGCUCCUAGUACGAGAGGACCGGAGUGGACGCAUCACUGGUGUUCGGGUUGUCAUGCCAAUGGCACUGCCCGGUAGCUAAAUGCGGAAGAGAUAAGUGCUGAAAGCAUCUAAGCACGAAACUUGCCCCGAGAUGAGUUCUCCCUGAGACUUUAAGUCUCCUGAAGGAACGUU
Molecule: ribosomal RNA, 2825 nt
Filed under: Klebsiella pneumoniae
Lineage: Bacteria; Pseudomonadati; Pseudomonadota; Gammaproteobacteria; Enterobacterales; Enterobacteriaceae
Description: partial 23S ribosomal RNA
Rfam family: Bacterial large subunit ribosomal RNA
Source: RNAcentral